AGCAGCCGCGGUAAUUCCAGCUCCAAUAGCGUAUAUUAAAGUUGUUGCAGUUAAAAAGCUCGUAGUUGAAUUUCGGGAUUAGUACGCUGGUCGUGCCUUCGGUACGUACUGGUGUUACUGAUUCCUACCUUCCGACGAACCAUCAUGUCAUUAAUUUGGUGUGGUGGGAAAUCAGGACUGUUACUUUGAAAAAAUUAGAGUGUUUAAAGCAGGCUCGCGCUUGAAUACAUUAGCAUGGAAUAAUGAAAUAGGACGUUGACCCUAUUUUGUUGGUUUCUAGGAUUGACGUAAUGAUUAAUAGGGAUAGUUGGGGGCAUUAGUAUUCAAUUGUCAGAGGUGAAAUUCUUGGAUUUAUUGAAGACUAACUACUGCGAAAGCAUUUGCCAAGGAUGUUUUCAUUAAUCAAGAACGAAAGUUAGGGGAUCGAAGACGAUCAGAUACCGUCGUAGUCUUAACCAUAAACUAUGCCGACUAGGGAUCGGAUGAUGUUAUUUUUAAUGACUCAUUCGGCGCCUUACGG
This 520-nucleotide ribosomal RNA is filed under the name uncultured Glomus. Its description in RNAcentral is "SSU rRNA". It matches the Rfam family "Eukaryotic small subunit ribosomal RNA", at positions 569 to 1093 of the family's 1831-position model. Lineage: Eukaryota; Fungi; Glomeromycota; Glomeromycetes; Glomerales; Glomeraceae. The record is from RNAcentral.